This 109-nucleotide ribosomal RNA is filed under the name Ligilactobacillus salivarius. RNAcentral's name for it is "partial 23S ribosomal RNA". It matches the Rfam family "Bacterial large subunit ribosomal RNA", at positions 2818 to 2925 of the family's 2925-position model. Lineage: Bacteria; Bacillati; Bacillota; Bacilli; Lactobacillales; Lactobacillaceae. The record is from RNAcentral.
UACGUAAGUAAGUAAGAUCCCUGAAAGAUGAUCAGGUAGAUAGGAUGGAAGUGGAAGUGCUGCGAGGCAUGGAGCGGACCAUUACUAAUCGAUCGAGGACUUAACCAAG